RNAcentral lists this ribosomal RNA (117 nucleotides) under Cytobacillus firmus. The record is from RNAcentral. Lineage: Bacteria; Bacillati; Bacillota; Bacilli; Caryophanales; Bacillaceae. RNAcentral also lists the same sequence under 11 other names.
UCUGGUGGCGAUGGCGAGAAGGUCACACCCGUUCCCAUACCGAACACGGAAGUUAAGCUUCUCAGCGCCGAUGGUAGUUAGGGGCUGUCCCCUUGUGAGAGUAGGACGCUGCCGGGC